Molecule: transfer RNA, 62 nt
Filed under: Forcipomyia makanensis
Lineage: Eukaryota; Metazoa; Arthropoda; Insecta; Diptera; Ceratopogonidae
Description: Forcipomyia sp. m QL-2019 tRNA-Leu
Source: RNAcentral
AUUACUUUGGCAGAUUAGUGCAAUAGAUUUAGAAUUUAUAAAAGUAUAAUAUACAAGUAAUA